RNAcentral lists this transfer RNA (91 nucleotides) under Chromatiales bacterium. RNAcentral describes it as "tRNA-Ser". It matches the Rfam family "tRNA". Rfam says of the family: Transfer RNA (tRNA) molecules are approximately 80 nucleotides in length. Their secondary structure includes four short double-helical elements and three loops (D, anti-codon, and T loops). The record is from RNAcentral. Lineage: Bacteria; Pseudomonadati; Pseudomonadota; Gammaproteobacteria; Chromatiales.
GGAGAGGUGUCCGAGCGGUUGAAGGAGCAUGCCUGGAAAGUAUGUAUACGGUAACCCCGUAUCGAGGGUUCGAAUCCCUCCCUCUCCGCCA